RNAcentral lists this ribosomal RNA (253 nucleotides) under uncultured bacterium. Its description in RNAcentral is "partial 16S ribosomal RNA". It matches the Rfam family "Bacterial small subunit ribosomal RNA", at positions 524 to 776 of the family's 1533-position model. The record is from RNAcentral.
UACGUAGGGUGCGAGCGUUGUCCGGAAUUACUGGGCGUAAAGAGCUCGUAGGUGGUUUGUCGCGUUGUCCGUGAAAACUCACAACUCAAUUGUGGGCGUGCGGGCGAUACGGGCAGACUGGAGUACUGCAGGGGAGACUGGAAUUCCUGGUGUAGCGGUGGAAUGCGCAGAUAUCAGGAGGAACACCGGUGGCGAAGGCGACUACCUGGCCCAUUCUUGACGCUGAGGCGCGAAAGCUAGGGGAGCGAACGGG